This 292-nucleotide ribosomal RNA is filed under the name uncultured bacterium. RNAcentral's name for it is "partial 16S ribosomal RNA". It matches the Rfam family "Bacterial small subunit ribosomal RNA", at positions 505 to 796 of the family's 1533-position model. The record is from RNAcentral.
GUGUCAGCAGCCGCGGUAAUACGUAGGGUCCGAGCGUUGUCCGGAGUUACUGGGCGUAAAGCGCGCGCAGGCGGCGGUGUUGGCCCGGCGUGAAAGCCCCCGGCUCAACCGGGGAGAGUCGUCGGGGACCGCACCGCUUGAGGGCGGUAGGGGCUGGUGGAAUGCCUGGUGUAGUGGUGAAAUGCGUAGAGAUCAGGCAGAACACCUGGGGCGAAGGCGGCCAGCUGGGCCGUCCCUGACGCUGAGGCGCGAAGGCGUGGGGAGCGAACGGGAUUAGAUACCCCGGUAGUCC